GAUUGAACGCUGGCGGCAGGCCUAACACAUGCAAGUCGAGCGGAAACGAUCCUAGCUUGCUAGGAGGCGUCGAGCGGCGGACGGGUGAGUAAUGCAUAGGAAUCUGCCCGGUAGUGGGGGAUAACUUGAGGAAACUCAAGCUAAUACCGCAUACGCCCCAAGGGGGAAAGCAGGGGAUCUUCGGACCUUGCGCUAUCGGAUGAGYCUAUGUCGGAUUAGCUAGUUGGUGAGGUAAUGGCUCACCAAGGCCGCGAUCCGUAGCUGGUCUGAGAGGAUGAUCAGCCACAUCGGGACUGAGACACGGCCCGAACUCCUACGGGAGGCAGCAGUGGGGAAUAUUGGACAAUGGGCGAAAGCCUGAUCCAGCCAUGCCGCGUGUGUGAAGAAGGCCUUCGGGUUGUAAAGCACUUUCAGCGAGGAAGAACGCUUGUGGGUUAAUACCCCGCAAGAAGGACAUCACUCGCAGAAGAAGCACCGGCUAACUCCGU
RNAcentral lists this ribosomal RNA (488 nucleotides) under Halomonas sp. EMB11. RNAcentral describes it as "bacterial SSU rRNA". It matches the Rfam family "Bacterial small subunit ribosomal RNA", at positions 27 to 506 of the family's 1533-position model. The record is from RNAcentral. Lineage: Bacteria; Pseudomonadati; Pseudomonadota; Gammaproteobacteria; Oceanospirillales; Halomonadaceae.